Molecule: ribosomal RNA, 1524 nt
Filed under: Triticum aestivum (bread wheat)
Lineage: Eukaryota; Viridiplantae; Streptophyta; Magnoliopsida; Poales; Poaceae
Description: partial small subunit ribosomal RNA
Source: RNAcentral
AUGGGCGAGAGGAGGAGGCGCGCGACCGCCGUCGCCGGCGGGGACGGCCGGGCGGAGGAGAAGGCCGCGGCGCCGGCGCCGACGGUGUGGUUCGCGCUCAAGAAGUCGCUGCAGUGCCGGUCCCAGUCGUCGGAGGUGCACGUGCCCAAGCCCAAGGCCAGCGCCACCUCCGGCGCCGGCGGUGGACUGUCAUCCAUCGUGACCAAGCGCGCGGCGCGGUCCGGGUGCUCGCGCUCCAUCGCCAACCUGCGGGACGUCAUCCACGGGAGCAAGCGCCACCCGGGGCAGCCGCCCAGCUGCAGCCCGCGGUCCAUCGGCAGCAGCGAGUUCCUCAACCCCAUCGCGCACGAGGUGGUGCUCAGCACCAACUCCCGCUGCGAGCUCAAGAUCACCGGCUUCGGCGGCGGCCUCGGGGCGGCGGGGGGAGGAGGAGGGCCCGCGCACGACGCGGAGGGCGGCGGCGACGGCGGCGGCGUCGUGUCGUCCUUCGUGGGCACGCUCCGCCCCGGCACGCCGGGGCCCGGCUGGAGCCACGGGCUGCAGUACAGCGGGUCGUGCCGGGCGGGCAGCAUGCGGUGCACGCCGCCGAGGUCGCCGAACCCGCUCCUGGACAGGGACGGCGCGGCCGCGACCACGGCCACGGCCCACCGCGCGUCCUGCGAGGUCGACGCCGCCAAGACCGGCGGCGGCAAGGGCUCCGGCGGCCUCAGCUGCCACAGGUGCGCCGAGCAGUUUGGCAAAUGGGAGGCGCUGGAGGCGCACCACCUGUCCAAACACGCAGGUGAGGAUGGCAUCUGCACUGCAUUGCUUCUGUUGGUGGUGGUGGUACUGCUUCAGAUCGACCCGGACACCCGGCCGGUAGAUCUUCAGGUGACGGAGCUGGUGGAGGGGGACUCGUCGCGGAAGAUCGUGGAGAUCAUCUGCCGGACGAGCCUGCUCAAGUCGGAGAGCAGCUGCGUGCGGAUCGAGCGCGUGUUCAAGGUGCACAACACGCAGCGGACGCUGGCCCGCUUCGAGGAGUACCGGGAGGCGGUGAAGCUCAAGGCGAGCAAGCUGGCCAAGAAGCACCCGCGCUGCCUCGCCGACGGCAACGAGCUGCUGCGCUUCCACGGCGCCACGCUCGCCUGCGCCCUCGGCUCCGCCGGCGCCAGCAGCCUCUGCGCCUCCGACAAGUGCGCCGUCUGCCGCAUCAUCCGCCACGGCUUCUCCUCCUCCUCCUCCUCCAACUCCUCCUCCAAGAAGGACGGCAAGGCCGGCGUCGGCGUCUUCACCACGUCCACCAGCGGCCGGGCCUUCGAGUCCGCCGACCAGCAGGACGACCCGGCGGCGCGGAGGGCGCUGCUGGUGUGCAGGGUGAUCGCCGGGCGGGUGCACAAGCCGCUGGAGAACGUGAGGGAGUUCGUGGGGCAGGCCGGGUUCGACUCGCUGGCCGGCAAGGUCGGGCCCUACGCCAACAUCGAGGAGCUCUACCUGCUGAACCCGAGGGCGCUGCUCCCCUGCUUCGUGGUCAUCUGCAAGCCAUGA